Molecule: long non-coding RNA, 1229 nt
Organism: Chenopodium quinoa (quinoa)
Lineage: Eukaryota; Viridiplantae; Streptophyta; Magnoliopsida; Caryophyllales; Amaranthaceae
Exons: 5
Source: RefSeq, a predicted model, not a curated record
CAUUCUCUCUCCUCUCAGUGGAAGUUACUGCGCUGUAAAAAAGAGCUCUCUUUUUCUCUCUCUAAAAAAUUCUCACCGGAAAACUCAUCGGAAAAUCUCGCGAAAACAUAGCGAAAAAGGGCCUGAAAAUCGUGGAAAUUGGUCGAGAGUGUGUCCUGGUCAAAGACUCCUGUUAGUUCGAGAUUGUUGGGAGUCGAAGUGUAUUGUUUCCGAGUGGUCGAGAGUGUGUACUGUUUAAGGUGUAAGAUCCGUUUUGAACAAAAUUCGUAGGUGUUGAAGGUGUUCAACGAAGCAAUUGUUGUGCCAUGUCAGGUGGUAGAAGGGGUGAGAGCGGUGGCCGAAGGGGUGGAAGAAGAGGUGGACGUGCGUGAGGUGGUGUAGUCGAAAAGGAUGUAGAAGAAAUACAUGAUCUUCCCUGAUCUUGAAGAUGAUUCUGGUGGAAGGAACUUGCAAAAGGACAAUACACUUAGUAAGAGGGCUAAGACUAAGCAAUUGGGUAAAGUGAUUGAAAGAUGCAAGAAGGAGCUGUAAAGGGUUAAAAAGCCUUGACAACUAUUAAUAUAUGUUUCAGUUUGACAUGUUUUAUGGGGUGCAGAUGAUUUUCUGUUAUAUUUUGAACAUAGGCAUACUGUGUUAGUGUGUUUUCAUUGUUAAUAGAAACUAUAAUAGAAAAAAACUCUCUAUUUUUGUUGCCUUAGUUUGGGCCGCAUGGCACUGCAGGAACAAGGAGUGUUUUGAGACUAAUGCUGGGGUUAGUGUAGUUUCUACGGCUACGGGUUUUGUUAAUUUGUGCUUUGAUUAUUUCGCUUAUAAUGCUAAGGUCAGUAUGCGAGCUAAUGGGGCUAUGUUUUGAGACUAAUGCUGGGGUUAGUUUUGCUGCGGUUAUAUGGAUGCUCAUGUGUGUGACGGGUAAUGGGGUAAGCUUAGGUGCUGUGAUUAGUCUUCUGAGAUGGCUGAAGCUGAUGCCGCUGCCUAUGGAGUUCGCCUUGCUAGCAGGUGGGGCUUUGUGGAUGUUAAAUUGGAGUGUGAUGCUGCAAAUGUUGUAAGAGCAAUUCAAGGCAAACAGGAUGGGGCUGCUCCAACUUUUCUGUUCAUAUUUGUAUUUUGUUAAACUAGUAGUAUGUUUAACUCUUUUAAGUGUAUGCACGUUAAGCAGGGGGUAAUGUAUUUGCUCAUUGCGUUGCUCGGUGGUAAACCACUUAUAAUGUGGAACACAUUUAUAUGAACAA